RNAcentral lists this ribosomal RNA (389 nucleotides) under Xylanibacter ruminicola. Its description in RNAcentral is "bacterial SSU rRNA". It matches the Rfam family "Bacterial small subunit ribosomal RNA", at positions 506 to 897 of the family's 1533-position model. Lineage: Bacteria; Pseudomonadati; Bacteroidota; Bacteroidia; Bacteroidales; Prevotellaceae. The record is from RNAcentral.
UGCCAGCAGCCGCGGUAAUACGGAAGGUCCAGGCGUUAUCCGGAUUUAUUGGGUUUAAAGGGAGCGCAGGCUGGAGAUUAAGCGUGACGUGAAAUGCCGCGGCUCAACCGUGGAAGUGCGUCGCGAACUGGUUUCCUUGAGUGUAUUCGACGUCAGCGGAAUUCGUGGUGUAGCGGUGAAAUGCUUAGAUAUCACGAAGAACUCCGAUUGCGAAGGCAGCUGGCGAGGCUACAACUGACGCUAAAGCUCGAAGGUGCGGGUAUCGAACAGGAUUAGAUACCCUGGUAGUCCGCACGGUAAACGAUGGAUGCCCGCUGUUGGCGAUAUACUGUCAGCGGCCAAGCGAAAGCGUUAAGCAUCCCACCUGGGGAGUACGCCGGCAACGGUGA